AAGGAUCAUUAACAAAUCUAACAACAACACUUGGUGCGGGUGGCCCGAGGGCAAAUAGACUGUGGGUGGGCGAGGGCAUCAGGAGACGGGCAUGCAGUCUUUUGGGCGACGCAUUGGGAGACGCGCCUAGGCAGAGGGAGAGACUGGUUUGUAAUUCUGACACAUUAUCGGGUCAGUCAGCCAGCACACGUUGAUACUUAGUGGUAUCGACAAUCACAAUGCAGAUGGCAUUCAAAAAACAUGUACAACUUUUAACUAUGGAUCUCUAGGCUCUU
This 275-nucleotide unclassified non-coding RNA is filed under the name uncultured fungus. Its description in RNAcentral is "partial contains 18S rRNA, ITS1, 5.8S rRNA, ITS2 and 28S rRNA". The record is from RNAcentral. Lineage: Eukaryota; Fungi.